UGUCCCACAGAAAACAAUUGUUAUAUACAGAGAGAGAAAAUAAACAUACAAGUUUAAUGUCCAGUGCAGGGAAUUUCAAGGGGGCAAGGUCAAUGAAAGACCAGGAUAGAGAUGUCUCCUGCUGUGCUUCCCAAAUGCAGGCCAGAAGAGGCAUAAGUGAAUUCAUGAGAAGAGUGAACUCCCUAACAGUGCACCUGCUACCCAGAAUGCUUUGCCUCUGGCUUGCGUAGGCUUCACACCUGAAACAGUGCACUGAAACACUGAGUAUCACUUCCUGCGUGUGGUGAAAAUUCACACUCAAAGAACUCAGGAUGGGCAUCCAUUAUUGAAAUUACAUCUACAGUGUAUUUGAGAGAGCCUGCCUUUCUGUCUAUUCAAGAAUUCCUCCUAAAUGAAUACGGGAGACUGAUCAAUUUUGAGACCGAUAGCAACCAGUGGGAAAUUUUGCCUGUUUCCAGAAAGUAAAAGAAACUGCCUGUGUGAGCUCCAAAAGCUCCAAAAAUGGAGGUACAGCGGGAAUCAUUCUCCAACCAAGCCUACCCACAGAGCAUCUUCAAGAGUCACAUGAGUACUUCAGGCAUCAAGGAUAGACAGUAGACAUGAAACAGCACCCAUUGAUUUCUCUGCAAAGAUUUCUAAACUCUCAGCAACACCACUGGCUUACAUUAACACCCGUAACCUGAAAAUUUUCCCCCAAAGCCUCAGGUCUCUUGGAGCACAGUUUGUCAUAGCUCGUCUGCUGCCGAAGAGAAUUCAAUUUACACUUUUAUUUAUUUAUUUUUAUUUGAGAUCAAAAGUUGGGUCACCUCCCAGGGAAGUAAGAUUAAUAAUGAAGUCACCUGUAAACAAGGAGUUAAGAAAGAAAUGAUUUACCCUUCAGGAAAGGAGAGAAUUUAAGGCUUUAAUAGACUUAGCUCAUCCCAGCAAUCAAUCCCAGCUGGCAAAAUCUAGGUCAGUGAAACCAAAUGGAAUCCAGAGAAUGAAACACUCAGUUGUUAAAGAUUAAGAAAGAGCUUAAGAUCAGGUCAGAAACAAAGGUCACGAAGCUAUGUUUCAUGGUUCUAUUUAGUAAACAGCCAAAAAACUCUAAAAAAAAAACCCACCCCAAAGCCCAUAUUUAGUGUUUGCCUUAAAACAACAAAAACAAGACAUUUUAGAGAGCAAAUAUAUGUUUAUAGGUAUAAUUCCAAGCCGUAUAAUAUACAGAAAUCCAAUGUUGUCAACUCUCAUGAUUUUGUCACGUGUCUCAUGAUAAUUAUUUUUUCCUUAAAGCCCCUGCAGUCAAGAGGAUAUGUGAUGAUUUGAGGUUCAUUCCUGAAGAAAAUGUCAGCUUCUAGCCCUUCUGGCUAUGAAAAAAAAAAUCUUCAAAAUGUGACCCCCGCUCACCCUAAAGGCAAAUAAAAAGGCAAAAGUA
Non-coding RNA from Pelodiscus sinensis (Chinese soft-shelled turtle), 1414 nucleotides. The record is from RefSeq and is a predicted model, not a curated record. Lineage: Eukaryota; Metazoa; Chordata; Testudines; Trionychidae.